CCUACGGGAGGCUGCAGUGGGGAAUAUUGGACAAUGGGGGGAACCCUGAUCCAGCCAUGCCGCGUGUGUGAAGAAGGCCCUCUGGUUGUAAAGCACUUUCAGUGAGGAAGAACGCCUGGUGGUUAAUACCCAUCAGGAAAGACAUCACUCACAGAAGAAGCACCGGCUAACUCCGUGCCAGCAGCCGCGGUAAUACGGAGGGUGCGAGCGUUAAUCGGAAUUACUGGGCGUAAAGCGCGCGUAGGUGGCUUGAUAAGCCGGUUGUGAAAGCCCCGGGCUCAACCUGGGAACGGCAUCCGGAACUGUCAAGCUAGAGUGCAGGAGAGGAAGGUAGAAUUCCCGGUGUAGCGGUGAAAUGCGUAGAGAUCGGGAGGAAUACCAGUGGCGAAGGCGGCCUUCUGGACUGACACUGACACUGAGGUGCGAAAGCGUGGGUAGCAAACAGGAUUAGAUACCCGAGUAGUC
RNAcentral lists this ribosomal RNA (465 nucleotides) under Vreelandella stevensii. RNAcentral's name for it is "partial 16S ribosomal RNA". It matches the Rfam family "Bacterial small subunit ribosomal RNA", at positions 338 to 795 of the family's 1533-position model. Lineage: Bacteria; Pseudomonadati; Pseudomonadota; Gammaproteobacteria; Oceanospirillales; Halomonadaceae. The record is from RNAcentral.